UGGGGAAUAUUGCGCAAUGGACGAAAGUCUGACGCAGCCAUGCCGCGUGAGUGAUGAAGGCCCUCGGGUCGUAAAGCUCUGUCGGGGGGGAAGAAGAUCUGACGGUACCCCCCAAGAAAGCACCGGCUAACUCCGUGCCAGCAGCCGCGGUAAUACGGAGGGUGCAAGCGUUGCUCGGAAUCACUGGGCGUAAAGCGUACGCAGGCGGUUUAUCAAGUCGGGUGUGAAAUCCCGGGGCUCAACCCCGGAACUGCACUCGAAACUGGUAGACUUGAGUACGAGAGAGGAAAGCGGAAUUCCUGGUGUAGAGGUGAAAUUCGUAGAUAUCAGGAGGAACACCCGUGGCGAAAGCGGCUUUCUGGCUCGAUACUGACGCUCAUGUACGAAAGCGUGGGGAGCAAACAGG
This 406-nucleotide ribosomal RNA is filed under the name uncultured bacterium. RNAcentral describes it as "bacterial SSU rRNA". It matches the Rfam family "Bacterial small subunit ribosomal RNA", at positions 355 to 776 of the family's 1533-position model. The record is from RNAcentral.